AGUGUACAGGCAGAGGAACAAAGGACAAGUUAGCCGUGCCUGUCACUUUAAAAGAGUCCUAUCGUAUUCAGACCUUGCUAUCCACACGGACAUCAUGCAGACAAAGAGUAAGUUGGGGGUACAGUAUGGGUUUAGCGUUGUCUCAUUGGACAUAAUUUACCACUGUCCAGCCUCCAAAUUCCCACACAGAA
Molossus molossus (Pallas's mastiff bat) is the source of this 191-nucleotide small nucleolar RNA. RefSeq annotates it as small nucleolar RNA SNORA23. Lineage: Eukaryota; Metazoa; Chordata; Mammalia; Chiroptera; Molossidae. The record is from RefSeq and is a predicted model, not a curated record. The transcript has a single exon.